Molecule: ribosomal RNA, 254 nt
Filed under: uncultured bacterium
Lineage: Bacteria
Description: partial 16S ribosomal RNA
Rfam family: Bacterial small subunit ribosomal RNA
Source: RNAcentral
UACGGGGGGAGCAAGCGUUGUUCGGAUUUACUGGGCGUAAAGGGCGCGUAGGCGGCCACCGCAAGUCGACUGUGAAAUCUCCGGGCUUAACCCGGAAAGGUCAGCCGAUACUGCGGGGCUAGAGUGCAGAAGGGGCAACUGGAAUUCUCGGUGUAGCGGUGAAAUGCGUAGAUAUCGGGAGGAACACCAGUGGCGAAGGCGGCGACCUGGGCAGAUACUGACACUGAGGUGCGAAAGCGUGGGGAGCAAACAGG